UACUGGAUUUUCUUGAGAAGAAAAUCAAAAGAGACUGAGGUUGCUAGAUUUCUUAAAGAAAAAAAUCAAGAAAGGAUCAAAAAAGAUUCUCGAUCCAUUCACAUGCGAAGCGUGAUCUGUGAAGAGGGAAGGCUGAAAUCUUUGAGAAAGAUUUUCAGUAAGGAGAAAAAAUAAAUCCAUCAUCAAAGAGGAUCUCUGCAAUAAAGCUAGCACCUCAAUGAGAUUAGAUACUCUGAUUAGAUGACGACUUCAUAUGGAUAUCUAUAA
RNAcentral lists this long non-coding RNA (267 nucleotides) under Elaeis guineensis (African oil palm). RNAcentral's name for it is "long non-coding RNA (EGUI_LNC075246)". Lineage: Eukaryota; Viridiplantae; Streptophyta; Magnoliopsida; Arecales; Arecaceae. The record is from RNAcentral.